Molecule: ribosomal RNA, 465 nt
Filed under: Vreelandella stevensii
Lineage: Bacteria; Pseudomonadati; Pseudomonadota; Gammaproteobacteria; Oceanospirillales; Halomonadaceae
Description: partial 16S ribosomal RNA
Rfam family: Bacterial small subunit ribosomal RNA
Source: RNAcentral
CCUACGGGGGGCUGCAGUGGGGAAUAUUGGACAAUUGGCGAAAGCCUGAUCCAGCCAUGCCGCGUGUGUGAAGAAGGCCUUCGGGUUGUAAAGCACUUUCAGUGGGGAAGAAAGCCUUGGGGCUAAUACCCUCGAGGAAGGACAUCACCCACAGAAGAAGCACCGGCUAACUCCGUGCCAGCAGCCGCGGUAAUACGGAGGGUGCGAGCGUUAAUCGGAAUUACUGGGCGUAAAGCGCGCGUAGGCGGUCUGAUAAGCCGGUUGUGAAAGCCCCGGGCUCAACCUGGGAACGGCAUCCGGAACGGUCAGGCUAGAGUGCAGGAGAGGAAGGUAGAAUUCCCGGUGUAGCGGUGAAAUGCGUAGAGAUCGGGAGGAAUACCAGUGGCGAAGGCGGUCUUCUGGACUGACACUGACGCUGAGGUGCGAAAGCGUGGGUAGCAAACAGGAUUAGAUACCCUAGUAGUC